RNAcentral lists this ribosomal RNA (420 nucleotides) under uncultured Lentisphaerota bacterium. RNAcentral describes it as "bacterial SSU rRNA". It matches the Rfam family "Bacterial small subunit ribosomal RNA", at positions 964 to 1382 of the family's 1533-position model. Lineage: Bacteria; Pseudomonadati; Lentisphaerota. The record is from RNAcentral.
AAGAACCUUACCUGGGCUUGACAUAUAACUGCACGCCCGUGAAAGCGGGGUUCCUUCGAGGGUGUUAGUCAGGUGCUGCAUGGCUGUCGUCAGCUCGUGCCGUGAGGUGUUGGGUUAAGUCCCGCAACGAGCGCAACCCUUGUGACUAGUUGCCACUCCCAUUUCGGUGGGAAGCACUCUAGUCAGACUGCCCGUGAUAAGCGGGAGGAAGUGGGGAUGACGUCAAGUCCGUAUGGCCUUUAUGCCCAGGGCUGCACACGUGCUACAAUGGAUGGUACAGAAGGACGCAAGACCGCGAGGUGGAGCAAAUCCCCAAAACCAUCCACAGUUCAGAUUGGAGUCUGCAACUCGACUCCAUGAAGCUGGAAUCGCUAGUAAAGGCGUAUCAGCUACGACGCCUUGAAUACGUUCCCGGGCCUU